Non-coding RNA from Ictidomys tridecemlineatus (thirteen-lined ground squirrel), 72 nucleotides. Lineage: Eukaryota; Metazoa; Chordata; Mammalia; Rodentia; Sciuridae. The record is from Rfam.
AGGGGUAUAGCUCAGUGGUAGAGUACUUGUCUAGAAUACAUAAGGCCCUGUGUUCAAUCCCCAGCACCCCUA